This 1470-nucleotide ribosomal RNA is filed under the name metagenome. RNAcentral's name for it is "bacterial SSU rRNA". It matches the Rfam family "Bacterial small subunit ribosomal RNA". The record is from RNAcentral.
AGAGUUUGAUCCUGGCUCAGGACGAACGCUGGCGGCACGCUUAACACAUGCAAGUCGAACGAGAGAAGAGGAGCUUGCUUUUCUGAUCUAGUGGCGGACGGGUGAGUAACACGUGAGCAAUCUGCCUUUCAGAGGGGGAUACCGAUUGGAAACGAUCGUUAAUACCGCAUAACAUAAUUGAACCGCAUGAUUUGAUUAUCAAAGAUUUAUCGCUGAAAGAUGAGCUCGCGUCUGAUUAGCUAGUUGGUAAGGUAACGGCUUACCAAGGCGACGAUCAGUAGCCGGACUGAGAGGUUGAUCGGCCACAUUGGGACUGAGACACGGCCCAGACUCCUACGGGGGGCAGCAGUGGGGAAUAUUGCACAAUGGAGGAAACUCUGAUGCAGCGAUGCCGCGUGAGGGAAGAAGGUUUUAGGAUUGUAAACCUCUGUCUUCAGGGACGAAAAAAGACGGUACCUGAGGAGGAAGCUCCGGCUAACUACGUGCCAGCAGCCGCGGUAAUACGUAGGGAGCGAGCGUUGUCCGGAAUUACUGGGUGUAAAGGGAGCGUAGGCGGGAUCGCAAGUCAGAUGUGAAAACUAUGGGCUUAACCCAUAAACUGCAUUUGAAACUGUGGUUCUUGAGUGAAGUAGAGGUAAGCGGAAUUCCUAGUGUAGCGGUGAAAUGCGUAGAUAUUAGGAGGAACAUCAGUGGCGAAGGCGGCUUACUGGGCUUUAACUGACGCUGAGGCUCGAAAGCGUGGGGAGCAAACAGGAUUAGAUACCCUGGUAGUCCACGCCGUAAACGAUGAUUACUAGGUGUGGGGGGACUGACCCCUUCCGUGCCGCAGCAAACGCAAUAAGUAACCCACCUGGGGAGUACGACCGCAAGGUUGAAACUCAAAGGAAUUGACGGGGGCCCGCACAAGCAGUGGAGUAUGUGGAUUAAUUCGAAGCAACGCGAAGAACCUUACCAGGUCUUGACAUCGUAUGCAUAGCUCAGAGAUGAGUGAAAUCUCUUCGGAGACAUAUAGACAGGUGGUGCAUGGUUGUCGUCAGCUCGUGUCGUGAGAUGUUGGGUUAAGUCCCGCAACGAGCGCAACCCUUACUGUUAGUUGCUACGCAAGAGCACUCUAGCAGGACUGCCGUUGACAAAACGGAGGAAGGUGGGGAUGACGUCAAAUCAUCAUGCCCCUUAUGACCUGGGCCUCACACGUACUACAAUGGCUGUCAACAGAGGGAAGCAAAGCCGCGAGGUGGAGCGAACCCCUAAAAGCAGUCUUAGUUCGGAUUGUAGGCUGCAACCCGCCUACAUGAAGUCGGAAUUGCUAGUAAUCGCAGAUCAGCAUGCUGCGGUGAAUACGUUCCCGGGCCUUGUACACACCGCCCGUCACGCCAUGGGAGUCGGUAACACCCGAAGCCUGUAGUCUAACCGCAAGGAGGACGCAGUCGAAGGUGGGAUUGAUGACUGGGGUGAAGUCGUAACAAGGUA